This is an RNA transcript of Ricinus communis (castor bean), 2319 nucleotides long. It is a transcript of the gene named FGGY carbohydrate kinase domain-containing protein-like, with no coding region annotated. NCBI's taxonomy places the organism in Eukaryota, Viridiplantae, Streptophyta, Magnoliopsida, Malpighiales, Euphorbiaceae. The record is from RefSeq and is a predicted model, not a curated record. The transcript is spliced from 4 exons.
AAAAUGUAAUACAGCAUCCCCCAAUUCUUUUCCUCUCUACCAUCCCUAACGUUAUUCUACCAUUCUCCCGAUCCCUCCUCUCCUUUCUCCGUUGAAACGUCCACUGCCUGAAGUCUUUUUACCGUUGAUGAGAAAUAUCAAGAGUCCAUUCUAGCUAAUUAGGAAGUCUUUUAAACGUUGAUGAGGAAUAUCAAGAGUCCAUUCCCAUAACAGCAUCCCAAACGUUAUUUUCCCCCAAUUCUUUUCCUCUUUACCAUCCCAAACUUUAUUUUCCCCCAAUUCUUUUUCUCUCUACCAUCCCAAACGUUAUUUUCCCCCAAUCCUUUUCCUCUCUACCAUCCCAAACGUUAUUCUACCGUUCUCCCGAUCCCUCCUCUCCUUUCUCCGUCGAGACGUCCACUGCCACCGUCACAGCCGUUCCUUGUCAGUCCGUUUUUCUCAGAGUCGACGUCGAUCCGUUUUUCUCGGAGUCGACGUUGGUACAAGAAGCGCUCGCGCUGGUUUAUUCGAUGAGAACGGAAAACGCUUAGGGACGUCUAGUGGUCCAAUUCAAAUUCGGAAAGAAGUGACUCUGUUGAGCAAUCGUCAACAGAUAUAUGGCAUGCAAUAUGUGCAGCUAUGAAAUUAGCAUGUUCACUUGCAAAUGUUUCUGGUCAAGAAGUUACUGGCAUUGGUUUUGCUGCUACUUGUUCUCUUGGUUUGUCAUAUUUAUUUUAUCUUGUUUGGGUAGAGGAAUUCUGUUUCAGUGAUAUUUUCAUGUUUGGUAACCUCAUAGUUGAUAGAAUUCAAUUCUUUCAAUUUAAUAAAAUAAAAACAAGGUAUUUUGGAAGUAACGAAAUCAUGCCAAAAGUGACAUGAUUGUGCAAGGAUUGAUCUCGUUUGUUCUACAUUAAAUUUCUGAAUUGCCUUUGUGGUAGAAAUUGUGGCUAUACUGCCUUUUGGAUAUUCAGUUUUUAUUUUAUUUUAAACAAUGUUACUUUUAAAAAAAAAAAAACUUUUUAGUGGCUGUUGAUGCUGAUGGAGCACCGGUAUCAGUUUCGUGGAGUGGGGAUUCAAGAAGAAAUAUUAUAGUUUGGAUGGAUCAUAGAGCUGUUAAACAAGCUGAGAAAAUUAAUUCUUUUAAUUUACCAGUAUUAUAGUACUGUGGUGGCACCUUUUCUCCUGAAUGCAGCCUCCAAAGGUAUUUAUUCAUAUUGUGUUUGUAAACUCUCGAAAUUGCAAGAAUUCAAUAUUACUGAGUUUUCGAUUUUUGUCAGUUUUUAUUUGGAAAGAUCAUAGUUGCUAGAAUUUGAUUCUUUCAACUUAAAAAGAAUAUGGCAUUUUGAAAGAAAUGAAAUCAUAAUACUACAAGUGACAUGAUUUUCUACGAAUGUAGUUCAAUUGAAUUCUUACAAAUGAUUUAUUCUGAACAAUGAUAAUGUGUUGUUCUAAGAUGGCCUUCCUAUGCCUAUAUCAGACCUAAUCUACAAUGCAUUUAUUUCAAAAUUUUAAGAAUAAUAAGUGCUUUGAUUGAUUCUGAGUUUUCAAUAUUGAGAUUGAUGAGAAAAUAGGUUCUUCUUCUGCCUUUCUUGUUGGUGCUGUAUUUGUUUGUGUUAGUAUUGAAAAUAUUGCAGCUUCUAUGGGUGAAAGAAAAUUUGCAAGAGUCAUGGUCCAUGGUGUUUAGAUGGAUGGAUUUGAGUGAUUGGUUGUCAUAUAUGUAAUUAUUUUAUCUCCAAACAUUCUUAUAUUUAUUAUCAACCAUAAACCUCUGGUACAUCCUCUAAGUAUUUGCCUAUAUGUUUAGGAACUAGGUCUUGAAGCUGGAACUCCUGUGGGGACUUCACUGAUUGAUGCUCAUGCUGGUGGCGUGGGGAUCAUGGAGAGUGUUCCUCUUCCUGACACAAAUUAUGAUGUUAAAGAGCACGAUAAGGAAGCAAUAUGUCAUCAUAUGGCUUUAGUCUGUGGUACUUCUACUUGUCAUAUGGCUGUAUCAUAGAGCAAGCUCUUCAUUCCUGGGGUUUGGGGACCUUUUUGGUCAGCAAUGAUCCCUGAGUACUAGCUUACAGAUGGUGGACAGAGUGCUACUGGGGCAUUAUUAGAUUACAUCAUAGAAAACUAUAUUCGUGGAGUGGGGAUUCAAGAAGAAAUAUUAUAGUUUGGAUGGAUCAUAGAGCUAUUAAACAAGCUGAGAAGAUUAAUUCUUCUAAUUCCCCAGUAUCACAGUACUGUGGUGACGUCCUUUCUCCUGAAAUGCAGCCUCCAAAUGUACUUAUUCAUGUUGUGUUUGUAAACUCUCAAAAUUGCAAGAAUUCAAUGUUACUGAGUUCUCAAUUUCAGUCA